This 205-nucleotide long non-coding RNA is filed under the name Elaeis guineensis (African oil palm). RNAcentral describes it as "long non-coding RNA (EGUI_LNC031371)". The record is from RNAcentral. Lineage: Eukaryota; Viridiplantae; Streptophyta; Magnoliopsida; Arecales; Arecaceae.
GCAUGGGACACCUGAUAUUUUGGAUUGCUUGCAGUAGGCAACUAACUCAGCAGAUAAAAUAUAGCUAUCAAAGGUUACUCGACCUUAAACAAAAAUUGUUUGAGAGUCUGAGACUAAAACCUCCAUCUUAUGCCUGAGCCUGAUCGAUAGGACCUUGGAAAUGAUCUUUAUCAGCCCAUUCUCGAUGCUAAUAGGCCUAAAGUCC